GCAAAGGGUAAUUUUUGGGCCUGUGGUAACACAUCCCUUACUCUGCUGACAUGACCAUGGAGACAUGGACAUCCUCACACGGGCCAGAUGCAGCUGAAGGCCCAGUGUAAGUCCUCAUGAGAAUAUCCUUCCAGCUGAUAAAGGGAGGAUCAGCCAUUUUACAUCUUCCCCCAAAGGUACAGAAAGAAGCAGAUGGCAUCUCAUGGAAAAGAGACUGACCAGGAGCCUGGAGGCUCAGACUUAAGCCUUAGCAGGUGACCUGGGGUCAGGAUGAUUCUCAGGAAUGGCUGCUCCUAGGAGCAGCAGAGAAGCGGGAAGUCUGGGAAGAAAGCCCUUCAAGCCUGGCCUGCAGCGGCUUCUCCUCCUGGGUGCCAAUGCUCUUGACAGGCCACAGAGCCCCGGUUCCAGCCAUGCAUCGUGUGACGAAAGAGGUGGUACAAGGUACAGCAAAUAAACUUACCAUGUUUCCCGUCCGACCGCAAAGCCCGACUGCCCAAUAGAGCCAUCUCAGUUCCACUGCAAUUUUUGCAGGUAAAAUUUUCAGUCAGCCACCAGAGGGUGCCCACAGAGCUCUCUGAAAAUGACCAAAUCCUGCAGAAUUAGAAAAUUUCCAGUGUAUCUAAAACUAAUACCAAAGAUAGCUCCCUCACAUAUGACUGGGAGUGAUGCACAGGCCAGCUAAGGAGCUGCAAGUUUGCAGGGGAUGAA
This is a long non-coding RNA of Cervus hanglu yarkandensis (Yarkand deer), 708 nucleotides long. Lineage: Eukaryota; Metazoa; Chordata; Mammalia; Artiodactyla; Cervidae. The record is from Ensembl.